GGUGGGGUAGCUGGCACCCUGAUUCCCACUAUUGGACAGCCCAGCCUCCUCCCUCUGAGGGAAUAAGACAGCUAUGUAGGCUCUAUCUGGUUUCCUUAGCAAUGUCCUUGAAGAGAAGGGCUCUGUGUUUGUAUUAACCUGGACCUUAUCUCAGCUAGCUAGCACUCAGGUUAAAGAAAUACUACUUUGAAUACAGUCAUGGUAAUGAAAGUAUGUGUUCUUAAACUCCCAGGCAGCGGGGAGUGGACACUUCACUUCUCCACCACUUCACCUCACUCCUCUCUGCUCCUCCUGUCUGUCUGCUUGCACUGUGUGUGUGUCUGUGUCCAUUCUUUUGUAUGCCUCCUGCACAGGCAUUCUUCUACAGGUGUUCCUUUACAGCCAGCGCUCAACAUUGGGGCACCAGACCCCACAUGUCCUCCCAGUCCACGGAGAGUUUGGGACAAGGAAGUCAGCCCAGACAGAGACCCUUCCAGACAUUCGGAGAGGUAAGGGGUCGGGGGAGUGGCUCAUGACGUGCAUCUUUACAC
Molecule: long non-coding RNA, 530 nt
Filed under: Marmota monax (woodchuck)
Lineage: Eukaryota; Metazoa; Chordata; Mammalia; Rodentia; Sciuridae
Source: RNAcentral